Molecule: ribosomal RNA, 427 nt
Filed under: uncultured bacterium
Lineage: Bacteria
Description: bacterial SSU rRNA
Rfam family: Bacterial small subunit ribosomal RNA
Source: RNAcentral
UGGGGAAUUUUGGACAAUGGGCGCAAGCCUGAUCCAGCAAUGCCGCGUGCAGGAUGAAGGCCUUCGGGUUGUAAACUGCUUUUGUACGGAACGAAAAAGCUCUCUCUAAUACAGGGGGUGAAUUACGGUACCGUAAGAAUAAGCACCGGCUAACUACGUGCCAGCAGCCGCGGUAAUAAGUAGGCAGCAAGCGUUGUUCGGAGUUACUGGGCGUAAAGAGUGCGUAGGCGGUUUUCUAAGUUCGGUGUGAAAUCUCCCGGCUUAACGGGGCGGGUGCGCCGAAGACUGGGAAGCUGGAGUGUGGGAAAGGCAGGCGGAAUUCCUGGUGUAGCGGUGAAAUGCGUAGAUAUCUGGAAGAACACCAGUGGCGAAGGCGGUCUCUUGGUCCGACACUGACGCUGAGGCACGAAAGCGUGGGGAGCAAACA